Molecule: long non-coding RNA, 564 nt
Organism: Colossoma macropomum (tambaqui)
Lineage: Eukaryota; Metazoa; Chordata; Actinopteri; Characiformes; Serrasalmidae
Exons: 2
Source: RefSeq, a predicted model, not a curated record
UUUAUUCAAUGUGUGAUGUUCUUUUCUGUAUAUUUUUGUUUCAUAUGAUGACUUUGCUAACAUUAAUCCUCUGUAAGAAACUGAUUCAUGAGAAAUUUGAUCUCAUUAACAAAUGUGAGAGUAAAUUUUGCAUGAGGAAAUUUUGAUCUCCAUUCAUCUCACAGUAAAAAUGGAUGUCAAAAAUAGUCAACAAGGGUUUUUGGAGAACUUUCAGCACAAGCAAAUUUGCUAGUAAAAACCAAGGGUAUUUCACCAUUGUUCAAGAGGAAGUUCUGCUUAUAACCAAAAAUAGUGCAAUAAUUACACAAGUCAUACAAAAGCACAUAUGGUUCUUGGCCACUAGUCAAUGUUAAGGUGCUAUGCGGAGUUGAAUUGUAUCAGGACUUUCACAAUGUUUUGUAUUCAAUCAAACUGCCUUUUUGUACAUAAAAUUAGAUAAAUUUUCUCAGCUAUAAUUCUCAGUGUUAAUAACAUUAAUAUAUACAAUAUUCACUUAGUUUUGUGUAUGUUUUUAGCUAUUGAACUUCAUUUGAGCAGCUUCCAACAAUAAAGAACAUUUCUGUA